RNAcentral lists this long non-coding RNA (7202 nucleotides) under Xyrichtys novacula (pearly razorfish). The record is from RNAcentral. Lineage: Eukaryota; Metazoa; Chordata; Actinopteri; Labriformes; Labridae.
AACUCGAGCAUGUGGUUUCAGGAUUUAGAGUCUAUAUUUGGGAUUUUGUGAUGGUAACAUUGUGUUCUCGGAUGUUCUCUUUAGUGGAUGUAACUUUUUUUUAUUUGAAACUUUCCUUCUUCCGUCACCAAAGCCAAAUCGGAAAAACACUCCAAAAUCCAGAGAUGUUUUUUUGCCCUCAUAAGACUUUUUAAGCAGGUCGGUUUGUGACUUUUUGUUUUCCGCAACCUCUAAAAUCCCUUUUUUUCUGAGUUCAUAUAUUGUUUGUAUGAUACUCGUCCCAUCUCUAAACACAUUUGUAUGUGAUAAAUGUCAAAAGACCCACUUCAAAUUUCAUCUGUUUCCUUAUAUGAAACUCAGAAUAUCUCGGUUACACAAGCCCUGUUUUCAUUUCAAACAUCAAACAUUGAUUUUCUUCCUGUUUAAAAGCUCACCUAAAAGUGUGUGGGAUGUGUCCACAUCUAUUCCUUUGUUAAUGAAUAAGGAACUGUAACCAAUUCUCACUUCCGCCGGUUUGUCUAAAUAACCUCCCAAGAAGUGAGUCAAAGCAUUAGUGAUUCCACAUCACCAUCCCAUUAAGCAGAGUUAAAUAUUGAAGAGUGUGGGAAGAGCCUUAGGUUAAGAAUCAAAUCUUGAACUGAGACCACACAGCCAAGAGACGAGUUUGUGUUGGAUCACACGUGUUAUGCAAUGAGAAAAAAAAAGGAACAUCUGGUUCAGAUGGAAAUUCAAGGGUUGUGCCGGGAUAUGCCGAGCUUCACCACAGUGCGGUCGGGUUCGCAUGCAGGGGAAUCAUUUUCAGCGACUUCUUUUCCAUGCAGACAUAUACAGCUUGUGUGUCCUCUGAAUGUCAGCAUAUUCAUCAUAUUGAGAUGAAAGAGAGAGCAGCUUCAAACCAAUGUCAGAUUUCUGCUUUCUGCAGUACUCUUCUUCUGCUGUUUUGCACCGACUUUGCCAUAAAAGGCAGUUCUGAAGAGUAACAAUUCUUUGAUGACAAAUUGUUAUGUAAGAUGAAAAAUGGGCCACGAAUGCACCCACUCAGAAGGAAACUACUAACCAGCCUCAGACUGACUGUACUUAACACAACUUCCUCACAUGAAAACUUCUGUAUAUCACUUUUUUUAUUGUUGACAAGUCAUAAAACGAGUCUUACUCAGAGACUCUUUAGAACAGACGGUCAAAAAAAACUCAUAAAUACAGUAAUUUAUGUUUUAGUUGGUGUGAACGAGCUUCAGUGUUCAAAUCUUUAGUACUUCUACAGUUAUGUAAGUACAGAUUAAUUUACUGUCUAGUCUUGGCAGCUCUCCAGUUCCUUUAUGAUGUUGAGAACAUGUUUCUCACCUGUGCUACAGCCACAGAUGUGCAGUUUGGCCUCAGGAACAAGAGGCAUUUGCAUCACACACAGAUGCAUGUAAGGCCCCAACCUUAAUCCGACUGGCUGGUUUGAUUUGUGACUCCAGCUAAAUAAGCAAGCCAUUCCUCAGAAUUUGCUUUUGCUCUGAACGGUUUAUCUUUUGUAAUCUGAAUCAUGGGCUGGCUUAUUUCACUGAGGCAUUUUGUAAUGAUCACAUAAAUGAAAUAAAAAGGUUCAACCUGUUUUGAUUGUUUUUCUGCGACUGGAACACUUAAGACUGCUAAAUUAAACCAAUACUGUUAGCAUUUUGGUGCCUUUGGUGUUCGGCCUCUUAUUUUUCCUCAUAAUAAAGCAGCUGUGUUGGUGUCCCAGCUAAUCAAAGCCACUGCAGGAGUGCUGCCACGCGGGUCAGAACAUCGGAUUCAAAAAGACAAAAGGUCACAGAGGCACUAGUUUCAGAUUUACGGUGAUAGCCCCGCUCAUGGCACCGCUGCACAGCAGGACCCUGCACGGGAUUUAAAGCCCUGCAGGACCCCCACCUUGACAUGUGACAUAUGUAGGGUCAAAGGGGAGACUGUUGCAUAACGUGGACAACGCUGCAAAUUAACAUUUCCCAGACUGGGUUUCUUCACAACAGAGGCCACUCAUCACAAGAGGAGCAAGUCAUGACUAACUGAAGAGAACAUGUCUGUGAAAUAAUCCGUGAACGCCAUAAAACCGACCACGAUUUCCUCCUUUUUAAAACAAGACAGUCUUUGUAGUUUUACAUAAGUUUGUUUUUCUGUUGUUUUCUUGUCAAAGCACUUGAUUUAGUGAAAAAUUGUGUAAUUUUAUGAGCUCUGGUUGCAGCUCCAUGAAUAAAGAGAUGUCAUAGCUGGCGGUCAAGUUCAUCUGAAAUGCAGAGUGUGCAGUGCUGUGCUUUGCAGCUAUAAUUAAAGAGAGGCCGCAGCUUGAUCUAUAAUUAACAUCUUGCAGGCUAAAUAUGACACAAGCAAUAAGAAUGCAAGUGAACAUAACAACACAUGAAAGACGUUUUGAGCUGAAUGCUUUAAAAGGCGGGUUGUGGCCGAGAAUCUGGUAAACCUCCACACAUGUGCUAAGACAAGAAAGCAUUUUACAGUGUUCAGUUUAUGGAACAGUUUACUGCAGCUUGUUUAUGGUCAUAUUACUUUCCACCACAAAUACAGGCUUUAAGAGUUAUUUGAUUUGGUUCUGAGAGGAUUAUGCAACUCUCAUUGUAGUGUAUUUAUGUGACUGUGCCCUUCUGUGAGGUAAACAUCCCCCAUCCUGUGUUCUAGUUUCAGUUCAUGUGAAGAGAGCUAUCAGAGCGUUUCAGGAAGUUUAAGAUGUAAACAGGGCAGAGGAUGAACUCCAGAAAACCCUGGGAAUGUAUUUUUGUUACACAGAGGCUUUACCUCAGGGUCAAUCAAACACACAUGACAAAACAUUCGAGUUUGUGUCAUUUACAGCAUGGACAUUAUCUUUCAGAUCAUAGCAUAUGAUCAUAAAGCUCUAAUGUUUUUAUAUGGCAUUACUUAACAGCUGUGACUGAGAAGUUUGAUAGGUUUCAUGUGCAGGCUUAUGUGGGAUCGCUCCUCUCGUGUAUGUGCUGUAAACUGUCUUCACAUGAACACAAUGAGGCUAAAUCCAAGCUAAAUCUCUUUUCAUUAUGUGAUAUGGGUGGAGCAGGCUGGGUGGCCAAACUGCAAGUCAUGUCAAGAAAAAAGGGCAGGCGUACUAGGAAGAAAAACACGAUGAUAAUAACAUCACACUCUGACUGUCCUAUUUAAAAUGAUAUAUAACAGAGUAAAAAAAACAUGUUUUGUUGUGGCAUGCAUAAGAGAGAGACACCACUCUUAAUGUGUACAGUGAAAAUGUUAGUUUGUCAAGUAAAGAACGACGUGACAAUAAAUGUUGAUGGUUAAUUACAAAACACGUAGAAGCAGCAUGAUGGGUACAUGAGGUAUUUUCAAAAUAACAAGAAUGCAGAUCCACAGGGAGUGGAUCAAGAAGUGAGUAAAUAGAAAUGAGGCCACCUUUUUGUUAUGAAGCCCAUUUAUUCUUCUAAACACUACACAGAGGUGUCUUUUCAUAAUAUAGGCACUGAGAUAAUUUGAUGAAUAUAUUUGCAUAAUAAAAGGCAUUAAUAGGAGAAAUGUUGUAGAUGUUUUCCAGGAUGCUAAAAGUUCUCCUUAGCUCCAUAUCUCUGAGUGGAGUCAGUGAAAUGCAACCAGCCGAUUGGAGUCAGAGAACUCCGAUUAAGACACCCAGACAAUGCGAUUGGAAUGUUUUACACAUGAUCUAUACAGCCAGUUAGCCCAGCCAUGAAAACUGAGGUUGUGCUUUUAUUUUGAAAGUCCACCCACUCAAAUUGUAAUGAAGCUUAAUGUUCGGCAUAAUUCAAGGCUGUUUUGUGUGACAGGUUAGAGCACAAGCUGUCCGCCAGGUCCAUAUUUGGCUGAUUUGAGUUAGUAAACUCAACAUCUUUGGUAUCCAGCUUCUCAUCCAAGUAUGAUCCUCUGGUUCCAGAGAAACAACAAAGCUUUAUGGCCUGAAGUGGGAAACAACUCUCCAUAAACCAAGAGGAGACAGUACAGAGGCGGUGUCAGCUUAAGAUGUUCAACAAGAAAUGGGAAGAGGACAUUAAACACAGACUUCCACUGAACACAGACUUCUCUGAGCGAGACAAGAGCAGAACAGUAGUCCCUAAAACAAUGCUUGGUAUCUCCUUCAGUAAGGUCUUCAAUUCAUAUAUAACACCAUCAUCAUCAUCAUUUAUUUAUGUACAGAGUUACCCCCAAAUUCAACCGCAUCCGGAACGGCUACAAAAAAGUCUGUAUCAUCGUUACCGUUCAAGUUAAUGUGUCAAUUUUCACCAGCUUCUUUCCGUUCCGUUGCGGAUCGCCAGACUCCGCAGGUGAUCACUGCUAAUUUUCUCCUCUGAAAGGACACAAUCUGCUGCUUAUAUGGUUAGCCUAUGUGGCUAAAGACAACUUGCUAUUGCGCGACUGCAUGAGAAUCCACGGGUUUUUGUGAGUUCUGGCAAUUCCUGUUCUCUGUAAUCCACCAAGAAAUUCCCUUCACAUACGGAUCUGGUAGGAUUUGGCGUACGGCAAAAAAGCAGUCGUUCUGGGUCGGCACCAUUCUGGAUGCAAUGGAAGUCCUAGGUUAGUUAGAUAGUUAGUACAGUUAGUUUAGUAUCAAUACAGUAAAGGAAAGUCAUUAUUACAAAGGGUCAAAGGUGUCUUUGUCCUCUGAAGCAAAGACUGACAGAAGACAAAACCUAAGAUGGGACAGGUCUCAUACUGAUCCGAAAAAGCCCCGUCCAAAAUGAAGCGUCUGGCCUCUUCAUGGUUCAUCCUCAUGUUUUGAUGCUUCAGCCGUCCUUCAGUCUGGAAAAAAAUGUGGUGUGGCUGUGACGAAAUCAACAGUCAUAGAAAGAUUCCCAUUCUAGUUAACGUCUGCUUACGUCUGGAAAAUAAUUUGUCUCAGGCUGUGGUGUUUAGAAACACUAUAAAUCAUUGCGCCAUUUGAGAAUUAAAGGGUUGGACACUGGCAUUGUCAUUGAUCUUUAUCAUAGUCACAUAUUUCCCUGUGUGUGUGAGAGAGAGAGAGAAAGAGGAAAUCAUGUGUAAGCCAGGAUUUUCACGAGAUUUUUUUCUGAUGUUUGAUAAGAAAACAGCUUUAGGGGAUGUGCCGAAUGUGUCACAUGAUCUUCCCCGUGCUUUGACUGUGCUCAGAAGUGUCCUCUUAGACAACGGUCUUGUGAGCACUUGAGAGUUUCCACACUGAUUUCUUGGAAAUUCACAAAAGAAAUAAAAACAAGCUGACUCAGCAGUGGUCCUGUUUCCCUAGUGCUUUCCAGCCAAUCACAGCCUAAAAAUGUCCAAAUCCAACCAACCAAUGGCAGCUUGUGUUUGGGCACUGACUGAGUGUAUCAACAAAAUGAUAACUUUUCUGGCCUUUCUGGGACGUGUUGAAUGGGCUGACAGUUUGUGAGUGAAUGCGAAGAACACUUGAAUAACAGGUGAUGCUAAAACUUUAUGUAACACCAACUCUGGCCUCCCCACAAACAGUUGUGGAAUGAAUAUUUGGAAAGAUGAGCGGGUUUGAUUAAAGGAAUCAUUUAAUAAAAUUGAAUUUAUUACGUAAGAGAAAAGAUAGUCAAUUACAUUCCAGUUUUUCUCACCAGAUGUUGCCCUACAGAGGAAUAAUAAAUCGUUUUCAGUUUACACCCUCUCAGAAUCGUAAAAACCUGGCACACAUCAUUCUAAUCAAGUAUCAAACAUAUAUAAUUAAGUUAUAAUUGCAGUAGAAAGUAGACAGGUUUCACACCUGUCCGGUCCUGCCUCAACAUGGGUAGCCCUCCUCGUCGAGCUCCUUUAGGAUGGCAGAACAACGUGUUCUCUGAUGCUUUAUUGCCUUCCUGUGGUUUCCCGGGGUUGUGAACUUUAUGAGGGCUGCUUUAUAGCCGUUGAACCUGUCCCCAGCUGUGAGCAACGAUUGAGGAUCAGAGUGAACUGUUGGCAAGUGGGCCAAAUCUUUAUGUUGGUGCAUUGGCAGUGAUCAUGUUUCUUUCAAAUUACAAGAUUGGCCACCCCUGCUGAUUUUUUCGUUACCUUGUUUUUUUGCAUUCCCAGUGUUAUUUCUCCCAGAUGCUGCUUUGACAACACACUCGUUAGGACCUUUAUGUUGAACCAGGAAUGAUCUACCGGCGUGUUUUCUUGAUUUCAAUGGACCACUUAUCUUCUUGUCCUUAUUUUGCCCUCAGGCCUAAGAGCUAAGAUCUGAGUACGAUUGAGUGUAGCAGCCAUGUGAAGAUUUAUGUAACUGGAAAUAUCAAGAUAGUCCUGAUCUGAGUUAUAUAUGUUGUGAUUUUUAGAUGUUAUGGCAAACACGUCAUGUAUGGAUAAUGUUUUAAUGCAUGAGAAGAAAUCAAGUUUUUCUAUUGUUUAGUUUUUUACAUUGAAACACUCUCAAUUACGGUUACUAAUCGAUCAUGGAGGCCAAACACUCUGACAGUUAUGUUUCCCUGGAGGAUAACUGAAGAGUGCUGACUGUGUAACUGUGCCUUGGAGCUAUUUUUGUAACUCUGAACACUGACGAGUCUUCACGGACUUUCAACAUUUCCAGCACUGAGGCCCAUGGGUGCUGUUUCUUCCCUCACAACAAGGGAGACAAAACUGACCUUAGCUGAACUUUUGUCUGUGAUAUGAUAUGAGAUUGAUUUACAGCAGCUGUUUAUUAAUGAGUGAAUAUGUGAGAGGAUCAUUAACUAUAAUGUCAUUUAAGGAUAAAGCGUCACUACUAUUUAUGUGACAUUAAAAAGAAGAAGAAUUACACAUUAUGAGAGCUUUAAAGUGGCAAUGCUGCUGAUGAGUAACUUUAUAUCUUAUAACUUUUCAGGUGAUUAAAGGUACGGUGAGUUGAAAUGGAAAAAUUACUCCAGCAGUCAGAUUUGAGAUGGUGGAAGUGGAUGUAUGCUAAGUAUGAUUGUCUAUUUGUAAAAUAUUUUACCAUGAAUAUCAAACUCUUUUGAACUUACCAACCACUGUCUUCUUAUCUUUUGUCGGCCAACUGGAUUGUCUGUUCUAUGCUUUGGUCAAGAUGUAGUGGUGUUAAUGAGUCAACAAAAACAAAACAAAACAAUUAUAUAACCAGGCUGUUAUACACUCAUUUUAAAAUGUCUUUUUUUUAUAUAACGAAAAAGUCAGUGUGCAAUUCAAUGACCGUGUCAUAUACUUGGAGUUCACACAGGUGUGUCAGCAGAGCAGUUCACACUUUGCAUUAUUGCAUAACACGUUUUACUGCCAGACACACUAUUAACAUACAUCCUGAACCUCAACCC